GUUUUACAAAUCUGCCAUUUCCUUCCCUUGCCCGUGGAAGAUGGGUUAUGGUGUGGUAGAGAAUGGUGCUGUCACACAGCUGGGUGAAGCUGAGGGGCUGCCCUGUUGUGCGUUGAUAUGAAAAAGCCAUUUUGCAGGAAGGCAGAAAUAGAGACUAGGAGGCCAACUCAAAGAUACUGAUUUUUUGGGGUGGUUUUGUGCUCUUUCUUCAUUCUCCCAGGUGUCUUAUUAAAAAUGCAUUAAAAUGAGACAAUUACCCGCUACUGAUAAUUUACACUGCUGCUGCAUCAAAGUACUUUGAAGUACUUGCUAAAUAACAGCUGAGUAAUUGGUACCCAUCUCUGCUGUCUGCCACAAAACCAUGGACAAAGAAGACCUUCAGAAAACAACAUGGAAAUUGCAGAGGGGCACAGAUGCAAAAGGUACAGCGAAACAGGCAAAGCCUGAAGAUGAUUACCCUGGAAUAUCUAAGGAACAAAUUGAAGCCAGCUCUGAACCACCUACUUAUAGUAAUGGCUGGAGGAUGGGAGAUGUAACAGAGUGGAACAAAUUCACUAUUCCUUCUCUUUUUGACAAAGCUUAGAAGUCAUACGCUCAACAACUUAGCACCACGUGGUAGAAAAUGAGUCAAUGAGAGACAGGUGAAAACUACUGAUCUGCAGAACCGUGAGGAAGAGAAGACCUUCUUACUCCUGCUGAAAGGUCCAAGAGGCAUAAGAAAAACAAGGAUGUUGUCAAUAAGGUAAGCUUGCUCGUCUACUUGUAUGCUCACUCAAGAGUUCACAAACUGGAAGAAUUCCCAGUUUAGGGUGAAUGUUUUCCAGUGUCUAUCCUGUAAGAAGGACUAAACUAUGUCAUCCAUGUAAUAACUUUGAAGCUAUUUAUGUGUUGGUUUUAGAUGGAGAUUAGGAAGCCUGACUGAGAGCUUGUAGUUAUAAUGGG
Molecule: long non-coding RNA, 942 nt
Filed under: Anser brachyrhynchus (Pink-footed goose)
Lineage: Eukaryota; Metazoa; Chordata; Aves; Anseriformes; Anatidae
Description: lncRNA (ENSABRG00000003322.1)
Source: RNAcentral